RNAcentral lists this ribosomal RNA (2148 nucleotides) under human gut metagenome. RNAcentral describes it as "bacterial LSU rRNA". It matches the Rfam family "Bacterial large subunit ribosomal RNA", at positions 14 to 2007 of the family's 2925-position model. The record is from RNAcentral.
AGGGCGUAUGGUGGAUGCCUUGGCAGACAGUACCGAUGAAGGACGUUUGAGGAUGCGAUAAGCCUCGGGGAGCCUCCAACAUGGCUUCGAUCCGAGGAUUUCCGAAUGGGGCAACCCGCCGGCCGUCAUGGGCCGGCACGGAACCUUGUUGUUCCGGGGGUACGCAGGGAAGUGAAACAUCUCAGUACCUGCAGGAAGGGAUACUCCGUGAGUAGUGGCGAGCGAAAGCGGAUCAGACCAAACCAUGGGCGCGUGAUACCCGUCGGGGGUUGCGUCCGUGGUGUUGCGGGAGCGUGUGUCCCGGUUCCGACGGACCGGGCGGGAGUCAUAAAACGGCUUGCCAGGGGAACAGGCUUGAAGGCCUGGCCGCAGAGGGUGCCAGCCCCGUACCUGGAAGCUUGCCGUCUUCCGAUCAUGUGUCCCAAGUAGCGCGGGCCUCGUGGAAUCCCGUGUGAAUCGGCCCCGACCGUGGGGUAAGUCUAAGCAUACCUGUCUGACCGAUAGCGUACCAGUACCGUGAGGGAAAGGUGAAAAGCACCCCGGGAGGGGAGUGAAAGAGUUCCUGAAACCGUGCGCCUACAAUCCGUCGGAGCCUCCUCAAGUGGGGUGACGGCGUGCCUAUCGAAAAAUGAGUCUGCGAGUCAGUGGUGCGUGGCGAGGCUAACCCGUCGUGGGGGAGCCGUAGCGAAGGCGAGUCUCAAAAGGCGUUUUGAGUCGCGUGCCCUGGACCCGAAGCGGGAUGAUCUAGCCCUGGGCAGGUUGAAGCGCGGGUAAGACCGCGUGGAGGACCGAACCCACCUGGGUUGAAAACCGGGGGGAUGACCUGGGGCUAGGGGUGAAAGGCCAAUCAAAUUCCGUGAUAGCUGGUUCUCUCCGAAAUGCAUUUAGGUGCAGCGUCGGUUGAUUGCAUCGCGGGGGUAGAGCUACUGGAUGCUUGCGGGCCCGUAUGGGGUACCAACAGCAGCCAAACUCCGAAUACCGUUGAUGUGUAUUCCGGCAGUGAGUCGGCGGGGGAUAAGCUCCGUCGUCGAGAGGGAGACAGCCCAGACCGUCGUCUAAGGUCCCGAAGCGUGUGCUAAGUGGGAAAGGAUGUGGAGUCGCAUAGACAGCCAGGAGGUUGGCUCAGAAGCAGCCAUCCUUGAAAGAGUGCGUAACAGCUCACUGGUCUAGUGGUUCCGCGCCGACAAUGUAGCGGGGCUCAAGCACACCACCGAAGACGCGGCAGCAAUCUUCAUGGUUGCUGGGUAGGAGAGCGUCCUGCGAGGGGCGAAGCGGCCGGGUAACCGUGCCGUGGACUUCGUGGGAGUGAGAAUGCAGACAUGAGUAGCGAGAGACGGGUGAGGAUCCCGUCCGCUGGAUGACCAAGGGUUCCGGGGCCACGUUCGUCGUCCCCGGGUGAGUCGGGUCCUAAGGCGAGGCCGACAGGCGUAGUCGAAUGGAUGAACGGGUGGAUAUUCCCGUACCGGCAGCGAACCGUCCGAACUGAACGGAUGAGUACUAACCUCCGGUCGCGUGGCGUCGUUCCCUUCGGGGUUCGGGGCGCGCGAUUGUUGGGAAUGUAGUCCUGGUAGGUUAGCGCACAGGGGUGACACGGAAUGGGAGCCGGCCGCGGAGGUGGUUUUCCGUGGUCAAGCACGCAGCCCGUCCCAUAGGCAAAUCCGUGGGGCAUGCAGGGUGAGGUGCGAUGAUGGGCGCCUUUCAGGCGCGAUAUCCGGUGGUCCAGGCCGUCGAGAAAAGCCUCGGCGCGAGGGGCGUUGCCGCCCGUACCCCAAACCGACACUGGUGGUCAGGUAGAGAAUACCAAGGCGAUCGAGCGAAUCCUGGUCAAGGAACUCGGCAAAUCACUCCCGUGCCUUCGGUAUAAGGGAGACCCGCUGGGGUGAACCGGCUAGCCCGGGGAGCUUUGGUGGGUGGCACAGACCAGGGGGUAGCGACUGUUUACCAAAAACACAGGUGCAUGCGAAGGCGCAAGCCGCUGUAUAUGCACUGACGCCUGCCCGGUGCCGGAAGGUUAAGAGGAUCCGUCAAUCCCUUCGGGGACGAAGCGGUGAAUUCAAGCCCCGGUAAACGGCGGUGGUAACUAUAACCAUCCUAAGGUAGCGAAAUUCCUUGUCGGGUAAGUUCCGACCUGCACGAAUGGCGUAACGA